CCAGAUGGUCGGAUGGUCGCCUUCGUGUCUUCGGGUGCGGGGGAGGAAAGUCCGGGCUCCACGGAAACAUGGUGCCGGGUAAUGCCCGGCGGGGGCAACCUCAGGGAAAGUGCCACAGAAAGUAAACCGCCAGGCUAGUUUUUGGUUAGCCUGGUAAGGGUGAAAGGGUGUGGUAAGAGCACACCGCGCCGAUAGCAAUACCGGUGGCAGGGCAAACCCCACCAGG
RNAcentral lists this RNase P RNA (226 nucleotides) under Magnetovibrio sp. RNAcentral's name for it is "partial RNase P RNA component class A". It matches the Rfam family "Bacterial RNase P class A", at positions 1 to 220 of the family's 367-position model. Rfam says of the family: Ribonuclease P (RNase P) is a ubiquitous endoribonuclease, found in archaea, bacteria and eukarya as well as chloroplasts and mitochondria. Its best characterised activity is the generation of mature 5'-ends of tRNAs by cleaving the 5'-leader elements of precursor-tRNAs. Cellular RNase Ps are ribonucleoproteins. The record is from RNAcentral. Lineage: Bacteria; Pseudomonadati; Pseudomonadota; Alphaproteobacteria; Rhodospirillales; Magnetovibrionaceae.